AUUGAACGCUGGCGGCAUGCCUUACACAUGCAAGUCGAACGGCAGCACGGGUGCUUGCACCUGGUGGCGAGUGGCGAACGGGUGAGUAAUACAUCGGAACAUGUCCUGUAGUGGGGGAUAGCCCGGCGAAAGCCGGAUUAAUACCGCAUACGAUCUACGGAUGAAAGCGGGGGACCUUCGGGCCUCGCGCUAUAGGGUUGGCCGAUGGCUGAUUAGCUAGUUGGUGGGGUAAAGGCCUACCAAGGCGACGAUCAGUAGCUGGUCUGAGAGGACGACCAGCCACACUGGGACUGAGACACGGCCCAGACUCCUACGGGAGGCAGCAGUGGGGAAUUUUGGACAAUGGGCGAAAGCCUGAUCCAGCAAUGCCGCGUGUGUGAAGAAGGCCUUCGGGUUGUAAAGCACUUUUGUCCGGAAAGAAAGCCUUGGCCCUAAUACGGUCGGGUGAUGACGGUACCGGAAGAAUAAGCACCGGCUAACUACGUG
Molecule: ribosomal RNA, 486 nt
Filed under: uncultured bacterium
Lineage: Bacteria
Description: partial 16S ribosomal RNA
Rfam family: Bacterial small subunit ribosomal RNA
Source: RNAcentral